This 548-nucleotide ribosomal RNA is filed under the name uncultured Glomeromycotina. Its description in RNAcentral is "SSU rRNA". It matches the Rfam family "Eukaryotic small subunit ribosomal RNA", at positions 548 to 1098 of the family's 1831-position model. The record is from RNAcentral. Lineage: Eukaryota; Fungi; Glomeromycota.
UUGGAGGGCAAGUCUGGUGCCAGCAGCCGCGGUAAUUCCAGCUCCAAUAGCGUAUAUUAAAGUUGUUGCAGUUAAAAAGCUCGUAGUUGAAUUUCGGGAUCAGAGUGUCGGUCGUGCCUCGGUACGAACUGGUAUUAUUGGUUCCUACCUUCUGAAGAACCGCGAUGUCAUUAAUUUGGUGUCGUGGGGAAUCAGGACUGUUACUUUGAAAAAACUAGAGUGUUUAAAGCAGGCUUACGCUUGAAUACAUUAGCAUGGAAUAAUGAAAUAGGACGUUUGAUUCUAUUUUGUUGGUUUCUAGGAUUGACGUAAUGAUUAAUAGGGAUAGUUGGGGGCAUUAGUAUUCAAUUGUCAGAGGUGAAAUUCUUGGAUUUAUUGAAGACUAACUACUGCGAAAGCAUUUGCCAAGGAUGUUUUCAUUAAUCAAGAACGAAAGUUAGGGGAUCGAAGACGAUCAGAUACCGUCGUAGUCUUAACCAUAAACUAUGCCGACUAGGGAUCGGAUGAUGUUAAUUUUUUAAUGACUCAUUCGGCGCCUUACGGGAAAC